AUCUGACAUUUUCUGUCCCCUGGCUCUCCCAGCAGGACCCAUGUGCCACAGCACCCUCAUCAUCCUGGUGGCAGCUACUCUCUCUAACUCCAACACAAGCCUUCCCUGAUGGAUUUUCUGCACCGUUUUGUAGCCUGGCUGUUUUAUUUUUUAAUUUUCCCGCUCUGACUGGAGGCUGACGGGGUCUGUCUCCUUUCUGCCCGCCCAGCCCCAGCGGAUUUCGGUUGGAGCAGUUUAACGAACGUGGCCUCAUUGUGCUGCAUUGUUUUUGUGGGUGCCUGCACCUUUCAAACCAGCCCCAAUUAGUAGAGCGGGGGAGAGGAGGGGGGGGGGGGGGAAGAAAGGAAGUAAAUAGAGGCAAAAUGAUUCAGUUUUCAGCAAACGUGCAGCCUGUUUGUCAGACAGAUGGAGCCACGCAGUGGAUGGCUUUGCUGCAGCCUGGCCCCCGAGCAGCUUUUGUAACUGGGUGCUGUCACCCUGAGCAGAGCUCUACCAGAAGUUUGGCCAACAAGAGAAAAGCAAACACAAGAUGAACUUGGAGAUAUGAAAUCUGGAGCUGCACCUGUUGCAAACAAGGUUAUUCUGAAGCUGGGUGUCAUUGCACACUUCAAUAAUGAAGCAGCAGCAGAAGGUCCCACUAAUACAAGCAGAAAUUGCCCCACAACUGAGGUGAUUCACUUCAUCCACAGCCUCCAUCCUCCUCUCCUGCUUGCAGAAUUCCAGUUUCCAAGCUGUCAGCCCCACUGCAUAAAGGAAGACGCUGGCUCAGUUUGUUAAGAACAUGCUGAACAUUUAUAGUAUAGAAUGAAAAAGUA
This is a long non-coding RNA of Passer domesticus (house sparrow), 815 nucleotides long. RefSeq lists it as uncharacterized. The record is from RefSeq and is a predicted model, not a curated record. NCBI's taxonomy places the organism in Eukaryota, Metazoa, Chordata, Aves, Passeriformes, Passeridae. The transcript is spliced from 3 exons.